RNAcentral lists this long non-coding RNA (1630 nucleotides) under Ricinus communis (castor bean). RNAcentral describes it as "long non-coding RNA (RCOM_LNC001601)". The record is from RNAcentral. Lineage: Eukaryota; Viridiplantae; Streptophyta; Magnoliopsida; Malpighiales; Euphorbiaceae.
CGAUUCCUUAAAUACAACAUUCAAAAGAAGAAACCAAAACAAAACGUUCAAGGAGGUGCAAUCAAUGGAGGAGUCUGUUCGCGUCAAGCACAUCAAACGCAAAAACAUUAGGAAAAGAAGGGUUCAUGAAGAAGAAGACGAAGGCGAGGAUUCAAAAACCGAAUCUUGUUUGAUUUACAAUCAGAAAAGAUCCUAAAAUUUUGACGGUAAGCUUUUUUUUUUUUUUUUUCAAGAAUUCAUAAGUUAAAUCUGAUGGAACAAUCUUUCAAUUUAUGUCUUGAAAGGAAAUUCAGUUUCAUCAUGAUAGCAGCGCAACGGCAGCUCUAGAAACUGAAAUUUGUAUAAAAAGGUAUAAUAGUGAUUAUAAAGCAAGCGAUAGCCUUCAUGGACCACAAAGGGCUUGUGCUCAUGUUAGGGUAACAUCUAGGGUUGAUUAUCAGCCUGAUAUAUGCAAACUGGUCGUUGUGGGUACAGAGAUGCAUGUAAGUGUAUGCAUGAUCGAGGUGAUCAGAGAUCUUGUUGGCGGAUGGAGAAUGAACGGAAUGAGGAAAAGAAGAUGAGACGGUGAAAUUUGGUUUAAUAGGCAUAUGAAUUAAUCUUUUUUUAUAUGUGAUACAUGCAUCUAUAAUUUUCUGUAGACUUUGUAAGAUUUUUGCUUCUCAUCGGUUCUUAUUUAAGAGGAAGUUUUUUUUUUUUUUAUUGAUUCCUUAAUCCGUUUCUGCUAUUAAAUAUUAGUAAAUUCAUACAAUUAUAGAACAGUAGGCAUUUGUUAAGGGUGAGUCUAACUCUGUAGCUGUAGUUGUACAAUUGAAAAAAUAACGAAAUUUUUCUUGCAGCUAGAGAUAUUUGGUCUUUAUUUUGAUGUGUAUGUAGUGUUGAAUAACAGCUACAAAUACAGAUUUAAGAGUUAAAUUUGUUUAUAACAUUUACUUAUGUACAUCAACUCUCUUGAUUCUAGGUCAUAUUUAUACAUUGGUUAGAGACUUCACUUCACACAGUCAUUACUUUCUUGGCCACUAAUGUACUGCUCUCUAAAUUGUUUUCGUUGUUCCAUGAAUGCGGUGACGGUGAAGCGAGCAGAGGCCAGAUCAAACUUCUUUCUUUUCUUGCUUUGAGAACAAGAGCUUUUGUAUUUUGUCUUAGAACACUAUUCACAGCCUUCAAGUAGUUGCUUGAAUCAUGAUCUCUUAAGAUUGUACCUUCUGAACCAUAAGCUGAAGGAUCACUAAGAGUUUCCAAUGGGUGUGGACAGUUGAGGAAUGCAUUUAGUACGCUUGGAGAGUAGCCGUGUUGUUUCUUGUCUAACUCAUAGAGAGCACCACCAGCAGGGAGGAAAGGGUGUGGAGGAGAUGAUUUCUCGUCAGGUUGGAGGAUAAAUAUUUUACCAAGUGGAGUGUACAAGAGUUUCUGAAUAGAAAUACAAGAGAAAGUAAGAAUUUGAACAAGUCUCUGUUUACAGUAUUGAAAUAAUGGAAUGAAGCAUGAUAAAUUUGAUAAUUGGAGCCUCGCAUUGAAUGUCCGUUUCUACGGAUGCUAAGUUUUAAUGACCGAGUAAAUCAAUACUUACAUUCUUUAUUAGACAAGGGUGUGAUCUGAAGGAGCCAUUUAAACGUUUGAGGACUUGUGCAAC